This 45-nucleotide non-coding RNA is filed under the name Schistosoma haematobium. The record is from RNAcentral. Lineage: Eukaryota; Metazoa; Platyhelminthes; Trematoda; Strigeidida; Schistosomatidae.
AUCCAGCUGAAGAGUCUGAAAUGGGACGAAACGAGAGUGCUGGAG